AACGAACGCUGGCGGCAUGCCUAACACAUGCCAGUCGAACGAGACCUUCGGGUCUAGUGGCGCACGGGUGCGUAACGCGUGGGAACCUGCCCUUAGGUUCGGAAUAACUCCCCGAAAGGGGUGCUAAUACCGGAUAAUGUCUUCAGACCAAAGAUUUAUCGCCUUUGGAUGGGCCCGCGUUGGAUUAGCUAGUUGGUAGGGUAAAAGCCUACCAAGGCGACGAUCCAUAGCUGGUCUGAGAGGAUGAUCAGCCACACUGGGACUGAGACACGGCCCAGACUCCUACGGGAGGCAGCAGUGGGGAAUAUUGGACAAUGGGCGAAAGCCUGAUCCAGCAAUGCCGCGUGAGUGAUGAAGGCCUUAGGGUUGUAAAGCUCUUUUACCCGGGAUGAUAAUGACAGUACCGGGAGAAUAAGCUCCGGCUAACUCCGUG
This 433-nucleotide ribosomal RNA is filed under the name uncultured bacterium. RNAcentral's name for it is "partial 16S ribosomal RNA". It matches the Rfam family "Bacterial small subunit ribosomal RNA", at positions 29 to 507 of the family's 1533-position model. The record is from RNAcentral.